UAAAAUGGGUAAAAUCUUGGGGAGGGUCAAAAAUCACAUGUCUACACUAUCAUUCCCAAAAAGCAGACCAUAAAAACGAAGACUCUCCUGUGGAUAUGCCCUAAUGAAGUAAGGGUGAAUUCAUCUAAGAAGGUGCGGUAUGACUUACUAUGGUCGUACCUCUCAUAUAGAUAGUCGAAUAGGAUGUAAGAGUCUUUCAAACAGGUUAAAUCUCGAUUCUUCUUCAAUCCCAUCAUCUUAAGGAAACCCCUACCCUUAUGAUUCUCUAGCAUAAGAAAACCCGGAGUCUCCCAAGGAAUACCAGAUGAUCCUCCUAUUUCCUCGAGCAAAUAAGUCAUUUCAAGGUCUCCGAAGCGGAACACGGACCUGUCACUAUCCCAGAAUAGUGUUGCAGCCUCUAUGAUUUUGUUGUCAGGCUGGAU
This 422-nucleotide long non-coding RNA is filed under the name Nicotiana benthamiana. RNAcentral's name for it is "long non-coding RNA (NBEN_LNC025279)". The record is from RNAcentral. Lineage: Eukaryota; Viridiplantae; Streptophyta; Magnoliopsida; Solanales; Solanaceae.